GUCCUGCUUUUGGGCUAGAGGCCCGGGGCCGCUCCCGAGCUUUCUCCCCUCUUCCCUGGAGAGCGACUGUUCGGGAGGGUGAGAAUGGUAUAAAUUUCAAAAACAACGAAACCUUCUUUUGCCCCCUCCGCAGCAGUCGCCUCCGGGCUUUAUUGCAAGUUUACGGUAACGAGUUCAUCUAUUUAAUUCGCGGUUGCAGCUCGGGGAUUUCUAUUAGACAGGACGGGUUGGGGCCGGGGGGCACAGGGUCUCCCCUGAAGGAAACCCAAUUAGAGUGCAGCACUUAGCACCUUCAAUAUAACUUUAAUGAAGGGGGGGAGGGGAGCUGCAGGGAAGAGAAGUUUGCUCUAGGUUGGGGAAGGAAAGCUGGAGCUGCUCCCGAGAACUGGGGGGCCUGGAUGAGGCUUUUUCCUGCUUCGAGGGCUUUCCAGCUUCCGGCCCGGGAACUACUAUUUGGAGUAGGGAUCGCCUGCAGGGAAGGCGGGGCGGAUUCUCGGCUGGCGGCGGCCUCGCAGGGUUCCCGGAAGCGCUAGCCAGCCGGAGUAAAACCCGAAAGAUGGAGCCUCAGGUUCGCGCUCUGCGUUGCGGGUGCUGGAACCGAGAUUCAAAAAGAGCUUCCGGAGGUAGUUUCUACGCAUUGCGCCACUACUCCCUUAUUCGGCUUCUGGAGGCCUAAUAAAAUCCACUUGCUUUGGAGUUAGAAAUUAUUUCGGGCCUGGAGCCCGCGUAGACGCGACCCUGUGAUCCCAUUUCGUAGCUUGCUGAGAGAUUCGCUGCGGGAGUUUGGCUCUGAGGGAGGGGAACGGUCUGGAGGGCAGCUCAGGGUACAAUUGCGCCUUGUUAGUGAAAAGGCGCCCUGCUUAUUUUCCGGAGUAUAUGUGUGUGCCUCUGCGUUUAUUCGUCUGUGAGCUCAUUGUCUGGAUUCACCUAUUGUGACAUUGUGUUCACACGUUUGUCCGAAUGGUUCCAUACAAGUAAAUCCGAAAAAAAGUGUGUGUGGGGGGGUCCACACCACUAAUUAUUAUGGCGAGGAAGAUAAAGAAGACAUGGACAGAAGGCGGAUGGCUCUGCGGCCUGGCUCCCGCAGACCGACCGCCUUCUUCUUCCAUUCGAGAUGGCUCGUACCGAACCUCCUUGCCUUCUUCCUGGGUCUCUCGGGGGCUGGACCAAUACAUCUGCCGAUGCCCUGGCCGAAUGGCAGGCGACAUCGGGUCCUGGACCCCCACACGCAGCUCAGUACCCACGAGGCCCCAGGCCGCUGGAAGCCUGUAGCUCCGCGGACGAUGAAAGCCUGCCCGCAGGUUCUCCUGGAGUGGUGAGCCUCUGUCGGAAGGGGGCGCCCACGUCUUUUUAAUGGUCCUAACACACCAGUGGAAUAAAUCUCUAAGAUUCCACAUCUUUUGUUUGCUCUGAAU
RNAcentral lists this long non-coding RNA (1415 nucleotides) under Homo sapiens (human). Lineage: Eukaryota; Metazoa; Chordata; Mammalia; Primates; Hominidae. The record is from RNAcentral.